CUCCCGGAAUUCCCUGCCGGUCUCCGCGGGCACACUUGGCUGGCUGCUGCGACCAAAACUACCUUCGCGUGGCAGGGUCCUCCUUCCUCCUCACAGACACCCCGACAUCACCCUCAAAACUGGAAGGGACAGCCCCGAGUGAUCUAGGCGAUGGUGGAUACCUGAAAGCCACCCAUGGAAAAGGUGAAGAAAGUGCCCCUUGAUUCUCAGAAGAGCCACUGCUGCUGUUGUGAGCAGAUAUCGGGUGGUGUCUCUGGCUGCAUCAUUCGUCAACCACACAUAUUCAUAUGAGUGUUACCCUCCAGCACUGUGCCUUCCAAAAGCCCCUGGCUGAGGAAGCACUGCUUCUGAGCCACAGAGACAGCUGAUUUAUGGACUAUUUUAUCACUGCUUCUAAACUGUGGCUCUAAACCUAACACAGAGGGUAAUGGUAGUGCUGUAUCCAUUCAUUCACUCAAUAAAUAUUUGCUGAGCACCAUCUGCG
This 484-nucleotide non-coding RNA is filed under the name Pan troglodytes (chimpanzee). The record is from RNAcentral. Lineage: Eukaryota; Metazoa; Chordata; Mammalia; Primates; Hominidae.